RNAcentral lists this ribosomal RNA (464 nucleotides) under uncultured bacterium. RNAcentral describes it as "partial 16S ribosomal RNA". It matches the Rfam family "Bacterial small subunit ribosomal RNA", at positions 28 to 506 of the family's 1533-position model. The record is from RNAcentral.
GACGAACGCUGGCGGCGUGCUUAACACAUGCAAGUCGAACGGAAAGGCCCUGCUUGCAGGGUACUCGAGUGGCGAACGGGUGAGUAACACGUGGGUGAUCUGCCCUGCACUUCGGGAUAAGCCUGGGAAACUGGGUCUAAUACCGGAUAGGAGCCAUUUUUAGUGUGAUGGUUGGAAAGUUUUUUCGGUGUAGGAUGAGCUCGCGGCCUAUCAGCUUGUUGGUGGGGUAAUGGCCUACCAAGGCGGCGACGGGUAGCCGGCCUGAGAGGGUGGACGGCCACAUUGGGACUGAGAUACGGCCCAGACUCCUACGGGAGGCAGCGGUGGGGAAUAUUGCACAAUGGGCGCAAGCCUGAUGCAGCGACGCCGCGUGGGGGAUGACGGCCUUCGGGUUGUAAACUCCUUUCGCUAGGGACGAAGCUUUUUGUGACGGUACCUAGAUAAGAAGCACCGGCUAACUACGU